This 254-nucleotide ribosomal RNA is filed under the name uncultured bacterium. RNAcentral describes it as "partial 16S ribosomal RNA". It matches the Rfam family "Bacterial small subunit ribosomal RNA", at positions 524 to 776 of the family's 1533-position model. The record is from RNAcentral.
UACGUAGGGUGCGAGCGUUAAUCGGAAUUACUGGGCGUAAAGCGUGCGCAGGCGGUGCACCAAGCUCGAUGUGAAAGCCCCGGGCUUAACCUGGGAAUGGCAUUGAGGACUGUGUGGCUUGAGUGCGGCAGAGGGAGGUGGAAUUCCACGUGUAGCAGUGAAAUGCGUAGAGAUGUGGAGGAACACCGAUGGCGAAGGCAGCCUCCUGGGCCGACACUGACGCUGAGGGCACGAAAGCGUGGGGAGCGAACAGG